UAGUAUUGAAAGUCCCACCUUCCAGGAAACCCCAGUCCCGAGCAAACCAGGCCGGUUGGUCGCCCUACUUGCCAAUCUCGCCUGUUGACGGCAAAGCCAGAGACAGGAGAGCCACACCCCUGCGCUUUGCUCCAGCAACAGGGAACUGCCUGUUUCCCUGCUGAGUUUAAUCUCCUUCCCUUUACCCACAUGGCCGCCCUUCCCCUUCCCGGCCCCCUAACUUACCUGUCACCCUGUCAUCCUCCAGGCAUCACUCCCCGUCCAAGGCCUUCCAUCACACCUCUGGCGCAGGUCCUCAUUCUGCAUCAUCAUAGUCAAUUUUAUCUUGGGCACCAUAAAAUUCUACUUCUUCUCGCAGUAGCAGGUGAUGUCACCCACAGAACAUAAUGGAUUCUAGGAACAGGCCCACAAGAGGAAAAGUGGGAUGUUUGUUCUGAGAAAACUAAAAAUACUUUGUUUAAAUUGGAUCACAUUUUACCAGUUAAGUGAACCUUACCAGGUAAGUCUCCAGGUUUGGAUAUUAACUCUUUCUAUUUGGGUUUUUCCCCUCUAAAUUUCUCCCUUCAGUAGAAGGUGUUCACUUUUAUCAACAGUGAUUUCAUAAACCACUCAAAGUCGGAAAAAACUGCUAUCGGAGCACCAUUGCUGUCAUUCAUUUUCCAAGACCCUGUGUCUUAUUCUCAGCAUUACAUGCAUUCUAUGAUGAUAAGCUGGGUUAUCAGAAAGGAGUCACUGGGAACAUGCGAGAAGAGAAAAAAACAGAACUAGUAACAUUAAAAUAAUCAAACUUUUACCCUCAAACAGAUAAUGAAUGAAUUGCCUAGCUGUACAAUUAUGGACCAAAUAUAUGUAAAAAUUAUACAAAUGAGCAUGUGUUUCCUCCUGUUUUAUAGCUUGACCCCAUAAAUCAUAGGCCUCAAAAAAAUCCCAAUACGGAGCCUUUCCCUAAAGAAGUUAAUAUCACCCAUUUUAGGCAAAUUUGUCAAGGAUCAUAUGGCAAAGUCAGGCUCAGCCAAAAAUUGAAGCCACUAAUGCUGAUGCCAAGCUGAUUAAAUGUUUCCUUAAAUAUCUAAAUUGUCUAUCAAAUGCUGUUUUAAGUAUCUGAAGACUAGUACUCAGACUCUUACACUAUUUAAGCUUCAGUUCUCCAAGGCUGUCUGCUUUUGCUGCAUUUUGCAUAAAAGCCAUUUUUUUCCUCUAUUUGAGUUAAUUUUCCAGGUUCUCCUCAAAUAAUCCUUGGGCUUCUGGAACAAAAGCUUACAGAAACAGGAUAAACAGUUUGAACUCUGACUUUUGUUUUCCAUUUGUAAGAACGUGAUUUUUUUUUCAACUUUCUAAUCACAGUCAUAAAAUUAAGCCUGGUUUUCAGAACGAAGUUUACCUGAUUCUCAAGUCCCCUAUCUUCAAAAAUUGCACAUUUGAUGGCAAAAUACAAAAUCUGUCUGAAAAGGUCUUGUUUUACUGUUAGCUCGAGAAGAGACUUCUACUUCAAGAAAAUCAAAGGAUUGUUUCUCACCCUAAAGGAAAGCUGUGUUGGAAAGCUUGGCAAAAUUAUACCUGGUCAUUUAUAAUUUUUCAUUAGACACCUGGGAAAUGUUCUUCACUAAAAGAAACCUUUUAAAAUUCCUGAAGAAUUAGCCUCCUUGCUCACCAGCAUUAUGAGAACAUUGACCCAAAUCUGGGACUGAGGAACCAAAUACCACUUCUCCCCGUUGCCUGCCGUCCCACUAAACAUACUCUACAAAUUACCAGUCACCAACUGUCCAUCAGUGUCCAAACUGCCACUGCUGAGAAUGAUUUAUUACACAGCAUCGAUUAUCAGGGACAGUAACACAGAUAACUUUUCCUUUCUGGAAAACUUUUGCCAUAAGAAAAAAUAUAUUCACAAGUGUACCAAAAAAAAAUUCAAUUCCUAUCAUUGUGGAUAUACAUAACCAGAGCUGAAUUUUUUUCAUGAAGAGUUUGAAUAUAUAAAACUCUUGAAUCUACAUUAAAAACUAAACCAUGAAGAAAUGUCCCAAAAAGUAGGUAUUAGCGUACAUGACACAAUAUGAAAUGUAUCUAAGUAUCGUUCUCUGAUAACACCCAUCUAUAUUCAUGUCUCCCUCCCUUGUUCCUUUUGUAUUUAAAACCUGACAUGUCAAUCAGCAUCUUACAUAAAUUGUAUUUCGUAGCAUUUAUUAGCUGAGUGUUGAAAUCAUAUUGAUUAUGUCACCAUAAGAUGUUCUAUAGAAUAAUCUUGUUUAUUAAUCACUUGGGGUCUCUGUAACUUGUUUCUGAAUGAGAUUGUCAGAUCUGUGUUGACAGAGCUCUGUCUAGCAGUUCUUUUUCCCUCAUGGAGCUAAAAAUAUCAGAGUAGCACAGCGAGCUGCCUCUCCACCUGCCUCCCAGAGUGGGGACCCUAGCUCCAUGGUCCCCUUCCUCCAGAAUAAUGUGGAGGCACAGGGUCACCCAGCUAGACUUCAUUUUCCAAGUCUACCCUGCAACUAGAAGUGGCUUGCCAAUGUAUUUUGAGAAGUAAUGUGUAUAAUUUCCAUGUUUCUUGCGUAAGAGGAAAUGGCUAUGGGGAGAGGUUGAUCAACAGGCACAAAGUCGCAGUUAGAUGGGAGGAGUCAGUUCUGGUGUUCCAUCGCACAGCAGGGCGACUGUGGCUAACAAUAAUGCAUUGUAUAUUUCAAACUAACUAGAAGACAGGAUUUUGAAUGCUUUACCGCAAAGAAAUGAUAAAUGUUUGAAAUGAAGGAUUUGCUAAUUACUCUGAUUUCAUCAUUAUACAAUGCACACAUGUGUCAAAACCUUUCAUUUUUAUCCCAUGAAUAUGUACACUUACUAUAUGACAAUUGAAGUUAAAAUAAAAAUUUAUUUUAAAAAUG
Pongo pygmaeus (Bornean orangutan) is the source of this 2873-nucleotide long non-coding RNA. RefSeq lists it as uncharacterized. The record is from RefSeq and is a predicted model, not a curated record. The transcript has 3 exons. Lineage: Eukaryota; Metazoa; Chordata; Mammalia; Primates; Hominidae.